GGAGUUUGGUCCGUGUCUCAGUACCAAUGUGGGGGACCUUCCUCUCAGAACCCCUACUGAUCGUCGGCCAGGUGGGCCGUUACCCCGCCUGCUGCCUAAUCAGACGCAUCCCCAUCCCAUAGCGGUGAACCUUUGCUCCUUGUCUGAUGCCAUCGGAGGAGAACAUAGGGCAUUAAUCCGACUUUCGCCGGGCUAUUCCCUACUAUGGGGAAGGUUGGAUACGCGUUACUCACCCGUGCGCCGGUCGCCAUCUGGAAUAGCAAGCUAUCCCAAUGCUGCCCCUCGACUUGCAUGUGUUAAGCCUGUAGCUAGCGUUCAUC
RNAcentral lists this ribosomal RNA (320 nucleotides) under uncultured Prevotella sp. RNAcentral describes it as "partial 16S ribosomal RNA". The record is from RNAcentral. Lineage: Bacteria; Pseudomonadati; Bacteroidota; Bacteroidia; Bacteroidales; Prevotellaceae.